GACGAACGCUGGCGGCGUGCUUAACACAUGCAAGUCGAACGGAAAGGCCCUGCUUUUGUGGGGUGCUCGAGUGGCGAACGGGUGAGUAACACGUGAGUAACCUGCCCUUGACUUUGGGAUAACUUCAGGAAACUGGGGCUAAUACCGGAUAGGAGCUCCUGCUGCAUGGUGGGGGUUGGAAAGUUUCGGCGGUUGGGGAUGGACUCGCGGCUUAUCAGCUUGUUGGUGGGGUAGUGGCUUACCAAGGCUUUGACGGGUAGCCGGCCUGAGAGGGUGACCGGCCACAUUGGGACUGAGAUACCGCCCAGACUCCUACGGGAGGCAGCAGUGGGGAAUAUUGCACAAUGGGCGGAAGCCUGAUGCAGCAACGCCGCGUGCGGGAUGACGGCCUUCGGGUUGUAACCCGCUUUCGCCUGUGACGAAGCGUGAGUGACGGUAAUGGGUAAAGAAGCACCGGCUAACUACGUG
RNAcentral lists this ribosomal RNA (468 nucleotides) under uncultured bacterium. Its description in RNAcentral is "partial 16S ribosomal RNA". It matches the Rfam family "Bacterial small subunit ribosomal RNA", at positions 28 to 507 of the family's 1533-position model. The record is from RNAcentral.